RNAcentral lists this long non-coding RNA (1015 nucleotides) under Brassica napus (rape). RNAcentral's name for it is "long non-coding RNA (BNAP_LNC023856)". Lineage: Eukaryota; Viridiplantae; Streptophyta; Magnoliopsida; Brassicales; Brassicaceae. The record is from RNAcentral.
GGAUUUAGAUUUAAUAUUUGAAAUUAGUAUUUAAAGAGAUAUAUAUUUGGAAACUAUAACUUAUAGAGUUAUAGUAUAUAAAGAUUAGAGUUUCAAAUUUGUGUGUAGAGUUUAAUUUAAAGUUUGGUGUAUGUGAAGUAUAUGAUUUGGGGUAUAAUGUUUAGAGUAAAAAGGGUUUGGGGUCAAGGACAAGAUUUAAGAAUAAAUUAAAGUUUGAAAAGAUUAGAUUGUGAUUUAUGUUUAAGAUAUAUUUUACGUUUUAAAAUAUAAGAUUUGAUGUUUAGAUUUAUGAUUUGGGGUUUGGGGUUUAGGUUUAGAAUUUAGGGUUUGAUUUGGGGUUUUGAUUUUUGAUUUGAAGUUAAAUUCUGAAAAUAAUUAAAUUUUGAGCCAACACAAAAAGAGAAUGAGACAAAAGAGGAAGAAUGAGAUAGGCACGUGGGUAGGAAGAGAAAGAGAUACAAAAAGAUCACUCUUGACCCUUAGAUUUACGGUUAUCAAUGGUCAAAACAAGAUAAAUCUUAUCCUCACCUCCCAAAUAUCAGCCAAUGAGAGCUCAUGACUUGGAUUAAGCUUUUUGUUUUGUUUUCUUUGACUGUGCACUUGUGACUUACUUCUACUAAAAAUUGUUUUUUUUUUCUCUUUUUUUCCCUUUUUGUUGUUCUAAUUUUUUUAAUUAUUAGAUUAUUUUAACAAAUUUAGUUUAUAAUUAGUUUUAUCAGAUUGUUUUAAAUGUUGAAUUUAUAGCUUAUGAUAAGAAAUUGAGGAAAUAUGGAAUCAAUGUUAGAGAAAAAAGAGAUGAUUAAGGUUAAGUGAUAGUAAUUAUAAGAAAUUGGAUUUGAAUUUAAAUUUGAAAUUUUAGAUUUGUGACUUGGAGUAUAUGUAGGGUUUGGUGUAUAGUAUUUGAGUUAUAUAUUUAACAUUUGAGAUUGAUUAUUAAAAAUGAUUAAUGUUUAGGUUUAAAUUUAAGAUUUGAGGUUAAAUUCAAGAUUUGAUGAUAAAAUUUUAUAUUUUAAGU